This 370-nucleotide transfer-messenger RNA is filed under the name Mycobacteriaceae. RNAcentral describes it as "ID1734 sp007489285 Standard tmRNA". It matches the Rfam family "transfer-messenger RNA". Rfam says of the family: Bacterial tmRNA, also known as 10Sa RNA or SsrA, is named for its dual tRNA and mRNA-like properties. Its role is to liberate the mRNA from a stalled ribosome. Lineage: Bacteria; Bacillati; Actinomycetota; Actinomycetes; Mycobacteriales. The record is from RNAcentral. RNAcentral also lists the same sequence under 1 other name.
GGGGCUGAACGGUUUCGACUGCGUACGUUGAUCUAGGGGAAGCGUGUCGGUGCAGGCAAGAGACCACCGUAAGCGUCGUUGCAACCAAUUAAGCGCCGAUUCCAAUCAGCGCGACUACGCUCUCGCUGCCUAAGCAGUAGAGCGUGUCUGUCAGUCCGGGUUCGCCCUCGGUCCGGGUACUGGCAUCAGCUAGAGGGCUCACCGUUCGUCUCGGUCGCGGAGGCGGGCGGAACAUCAAACAGCGACUGGGAUCGUCAUCUCGGCUAGUUCGCGAGACCGGGAGAUCCAAGUAGAGACACAGCGAACUGCACACGGAGAAGCCCUGGAGACGCGGCGGAGGACCCGGGUUCGAUUCCCGGCAGCUCCACUU